RNAcentral lists this long non-coding RNA (42719 nucleotides) under Zea mays. RNAcentral describes it as "long non-coding RNA (ZMAY_LNC000830)". Lineage: Eukaryota; Viridiplantae; Streptophyta; Magnoliopsida; Poales; Poaceae. The record is from RNAcentral.
GAUGAUGAAUAGGUUCAUCAAGAAGAGGCGUGUGAUCAAGGGGGAGCACAAGAAGACCAAGUUGUGGAGAAAGAAGUACCACUGGUCCCUUCAACUCAAGUCCGAGCGAUAAUUCAAAGGAAUCACCCCAUCGAUCAGAUUCUGGGUGACAUAAGCAAGGGAGUAACUACUUGUCGGGGACCAUAAUUAGGGGUACCCCCAAGACUCCUAAAUCUCAGCUGGUAACCCCCAUCAGCACAAAGCUGCAAAGGCCUGAUGGGCGCGAUUCAGGUCAAGGCUCCAUUCACUCAAGGGACACGAUCCCGCCUCACCCGAGCCCAGCCUCGGGCAAAGGCAGCCGACCCAGGAGGAUUCACGUCUCGCCCGAGGGUCCCCUCAAGCAACGGGCGCACCUUCGGCUCGCCCGAGGCCCAGUCUUCGUGGAGAAGCUACCUUGGCCAGAUCGCCACGCCAACCGACCGUAUCGCAGGAGCAUUUAAUGCAAGGAUCGACUGACACCUUAUUCUGACGCGCGCUCCUCAGUCGACAGAGCCGAAGUGACCGCAGUCACUUCGCCGCUCCACUGACCGACCUGACGGGAAAACAGCGCCGCCUGCCCCGCUCCGACUGCUGUGCCACUCGACAGAGUGAGGCUGACAGCAUCUAAGUCCAGCCUCGGGCACCAUAGGAAGCUCUGCCUCGCCCGACCCUAGGGCUCGGGCUCAACCUCGACGCCGGACGACGGACUUCGCCUCGCCCGACCCCAGGGCUCGGACUCAGCCUCGACCUCGGAAGACGGACUCCGCCUCGCCCGACCCCAGGGCUCGGACUCAGCCUCGACCUCGGAAGACGAACUCCGCCUCGCCCGACCCCAGGGCUCGGACUCAGCCUCGACCUCGGAAGACGAACUCCGCCUCGCCUGACCCCAGGGCUCGGACUCAGCCUCGACCUUGGACGACGGUCUCCGCCUCGCCCGACCCUCAGGCCAAGACUCGACCUCGACCUCGGAGGAGCCUCCGCCUCGCCCGACCUCGGGCCCGGACCGAUCACGUCACAGGGGGGGCCAUCAUUACCCUACCCCUAGCUAGCUCAGGCUAAGGGGAACAAGACCAGCGUCCCAUCUGGCUCGCCCCGAUAAACAAGUAAUGAUGGCACCCCGCAUGCUCCAUGACGACGGCGGCUCUCAGCCCCUUACGGAAGCAAGGAGACGUCAGCAAGGAUCCGACAGCCCCGACAGCUGUACUUCCACAGGGCUCAAGCGCUCCUCCGACGGCCACGACAUCACAUGAACAGGGCGCCAAAACCUCUCCGACUGCCACGACGGCAUGUACUUAGGGCUCUGGCUCCUCUCUGCUAGACACGUUAGCACAUUGCUACACCCCCCAUUGUACACCGGGGCCCUCUCCUUAUGUCUAUAAAAGGAAGGUCCAGGGCUCUCGUACGGGAGGUUGGCCGCAUGGGAGAACGGGCUGGCGGACAGCCUCUCUCUCUCUCUCUCCCUCGCGGACGCUUGUAACCCCCUACUGCAAGAGCACCCGACCUGGGCGCAGGACAACACGGAGGCCGCAGGUUUCCCCUUUGCUGUCUCUCCCCCCUUUUGUGUUCCGUCUCGCGCGGACCCAUCUGGGCUGGGACACGCGGCGACAAUUUACUCGUCGGUCCAAGGACCCGCCGGGGUUGAAACGCCGACAGUUGGCGCGCCAGGUAGGGGCCUGCUGCGUGUUGACGAACAGCUUCCAGUCAAGCUCCAGAUGGGCAGUCUCCAGCAACCACUUCAACCCAGGACGGUGCUCCGUUUCGGGAGUCUGGAGUUCAUGUCCCUCGACGGCAGCUACGACAUGAUACUCCUUCCUCCGCCGCGCGACAACAACAAUGGCGACCGUCAGCCCACCCGCCGCGGCGGAAUCGAUGACGUCUUCCCCACGUGGCGGAAGAGCAACAUCCGGGUCUGUCCCGUCACCUUCCCCACCGACGGAGGAGGAGGCGGGGCAUGCAUGGCCAAGCAGGAGGCGGCACCUCGUCGGCUGUCGAGCGAGUCGACAGCGCCGGCGCCCCAACGGGGGACACGUCGGGUGUUGACCUCGCGUCUGAGACGAAGACGAGCGCCGUUUCCCCGCAACACGCCAACUCCAAGCAGACAAAUGACGCCAGCACGCUCGUGAAGGACUUGCUGGGCGUCAGCCUCGUACCUGAGACAACGGUGCAGUCCGUCCCUGACGCGGCUUCGUCACCGCCCGUCAAUCGAGAGGUACCGCCCGUUUCCCAUCCCAUGCCUUUUGAAUUCAGCUGCGACCCACCAAGCGACCCCGCUUCGGUGGACGCUUUCAUAAAGGCAUGUCCAAACCCUCCGGGGUAUCAUAUGCGGUCACCCUGGGAUCGACUGACGGCCGUCUCGACCUACUGGCCUCUGGGUUCCGAGGAAGAUGACGAGCCCGACUCUGGUUGGGAUUUCUCCGGGCUCGAUAACCCUAGUGCCAUGCGGGACUUUAUGACCGCAUGUGACUACUGCCUCUCCGAUUGCUCCGAUAGUAGCCACAGCCUCGGUGACGAGGACUGUGGCCCAAGUCGCGAAUGCUUUCACGUCGAUCUAGGGGGUCUCAACGAAGGCAACCAUCUUGGUAUGCCGGAGGACGGUGAUCCCCCUAGGCCUGCACCUCGCGUUGACAUCCUUCGGGAGCUAGCUGUGGUCCCAGUCCCUGCGGGGGGUCAGGACGCACAGCUCGAGCAAAUCCGCGAGGUACAGGCCAGGCUCGACGAGGAAGCAGGACAACUUGUGCAGCUUCGGCAAAAUAUCUUGCAGGAGUGGGCAGGCCGAGCACCGGCCGGAGAAGCGCGUCACCUGGCCCAGGACGUCCAGCACCGCAUCGCCAACGAUGCCAGGGCGAGGCUACCCCCGGCUUCCAGUGGGGUCGGCCAGAACCUGGCCGCAGCAGCGAUACUACUCCGAGCGAUGCCGGAACUAUCCACCACCGAGGGGCGGCGCAUCCAGGGAGAGCUCAAGAAUUUCCUGGAAGAUGUCGCGGUCUGACGGGCCGAGAGCUCUGCCUCCCGAAGGCAGGGGUACCCCCCGGAGCAUCGCGUCGUGACUUCCCGAUUCAUGCGGGAAGCCUCGGUCCACACCGGGCAAACGCGGAACUCAGCGCCUGUGGCCCCGGGUUGCCUCGGCAACGAGUACCACCGCCGCGAUCGUCGAGCCCACCUCGACGAGAAGGUGCGCCGAGGCUACCACCCCAGGCGUGGGGGAUGCUACGACAGCGGGGAGGAUCGGAGCCCCUCGCCCAAACCACCCAGUCCACGAGCUUUCAGCCGGGUCAUACAACGAGCGCCGUUCCCAACCCGGUUCCGAACCCCGACUACCAUCACCAAGUACUCGAGGGAGUCAAAACCGGAACUGUGGCUCGCAGACUACCGGCUGGCCUGUCAGCUGGGUGGGACGGGCGAUGACAACCUCAUCAUCCGCAACCUUCCCCUGUUCCUCUCCAACGCCGCCCGAGCCUGACUGGAGCAUCUGCCUCCUCCGCAGACCUCCAACUGGGAUGACCUGGUCAAAGCCUUCGCCGGCAACUUCCAGGGCACAUACGUGUGCCCUGGGAACUCCUAGGAUCUCCGAAGCUGCCGCCAGCAGCCGGGAGAGUCCCUGCAGGACUACAUCUGGCGAUUUUCGAAGCAGCGUACCGAGCUGCCCAACAUCACCGACUCGGAUGUCAUCGGCGCGUUCCUCGCCGGCACCACAUGCCGCGACCUGGUGAGCACGCUGGGUUGCAAGACUCCCACCAGGGCGAGCGAGCUGAUGGACAUCGCCACCAAGUUCGCCUCUGGUCAGGAGGCGGUCGAGGCGAUCUUCCGAAAGGACAAGCAGCCUCAGGGGCUCCAGCCGGAAGACGUCCUCGAGGCGUCCGCUCAGCACGGCGUGAGGAAGAAGGGCAAGAAGAAGUCGCAAGCGAAACACGACGCCACCGACGCGGACCUUGUCGCCGCUGCCGAGCAUAGGAACCCUCGGAAGCCUCCCGGAGGCGCCAACCUGUUCGACAAGAUGCUCAAGGAGUCGUGCCCCUAUCAUCAGGGUCCCGUCAAGCACACCCUUGAGGAGUGCGUCAUGCUUCGGCGCUACUUCCACAAGGCCGGGCCGCCGGCGGAAGGUGGCCGAGCCCACAACAGCGACAAGAAGGAGGAUCACAAGGCAGAGGAGUUCCCCGAGGUCCAUGACUGCUUCAUGAUCUACGGUGGGCAAGUGGCGAACGCCUCGACUCAGCACCGCAAGAAGAGCGCCGGGAGGUCUGCUCGGUAAAGGUGGCGGCACCAGUCUACCUAGACUGGUCCGACAAGCCCAUCACCUUCGACUAGGGCGACCACCCCGACCGUGUGCCGAGCCCAGGAAAGUACCCGCUCGUUGUCGUUCCCGUCAUCGGCAACGUCAGGCUCACCAAGGUCCUCAUGGAUGGAGGCAGCAGCCUCAACAUCACCUACGCCGAGACCCUCGGGCUCCUGCAGAUCGAUCUAUCCUCGAUCCGGGCCGGCGCGGCACCUUUUCAUGGGAUCAUCCCCGGGAAACGUGUCCAACCCCUUGGGCAACUCGAUCUGCCCAUCUAAUUCGGGACUCCCUCCAAUUUUCGAAAGGAAACCCUCACGUUCGAGGUGGUCGGGUUCCGAGGAACCUACCACGCAGUGCUGGGGAGGCCAUGCUACGCCAAGUUCAUGGCCGUCCCCAACUACACCUACCUCAAGCUCAAGAUGUCGGGCCCCAACGGGGUCAUCACCGUCGGCUCCACGUACUGACGUACCGACACGCGUACAAAUGCGACGUGGAGUGCCUGGAGUACGCCGAGGCCCUCGCCGAAUCCGAGGCCCUCAUCGCCGACCUGGAGAGCCUCUCCAAGGAGGCGCCAGAUGCGAAGCGCCACGCCGGCAACUUCGAGCCAGCUGAGACGGUUAAGUCUGUCCCUCUCGACCCCAGCAACGACGCCUCCAAGCAGAUCCGGAUCGGCUCCGAGCUCGACCCCAAAUAGGAAGCAGUGCUCGUCAACUUUCUCCGCGCAAAUGCCGAAGUUUUUGCGUUGAGUCCCUCGGACAUGCCUGGCAUACCGAGGGAUGUCGCCGAGCACUCGCUGGAUAUCCGAGCUCGAGCCCGACCCGUGAAGCAGCCUCUGCGCCGAUUCGAUGAAGAAAAGCACAGAGCCAUAGGCGAGGAGAUCCACAAGCUGAUGGCUGCAGGGUUCAUCAAAGAGGUAUUCCAUCCCGAAUGGCUUGCCAACCCUGUGCUUGUGAGAAAGAAAGGAGGGAAAUGGCGGAUGUGUGUAGACUACACUGGUCUAAACAAAGCAUGUCCGAAGGUUCCCUACCCUCUGCCUCGCAUCGAUCAAAUCGUGGAUUCUACUGCUGGGUGCGAAACCCUGUCUUUCCUCGAUGCCUACUCAGGGUAUCACCAAAUCAGGAUAAAAGAGUCCGACCAGCUCGCGACUUCUUUCAUCACACCCUUUGGCAUGUACUGCUAUGUUACUAUGUCAUUCGGUCUGAGGAAUGCGGGUGCGACAUACCAAAGGUGCAUGAACCAUGUGUUUGGAGAACACAUUGGUCGAACGGUCGAGGCUUACGUCGAUGACAUCGUAGUCAAGACGAGGAAAGCCUCCGACCUCCUCUCCGACCUUGAAACAACAUUCCGGUGUCUCAAGGCGAAAGGCGUAAAACUCAAUCCCGAGAAGUGUGUCUUCGGAGUACCCAGAGGCAUGCUCCUGAGGUUCAUCGUCUCCGAGCGGGGCGUCGAGGCCAACCCGGAAAAAAUUGUGGCCAUCACCAACAUGGGGCCCAUCAAGGACUUGAAAGGAGUACAGAGGGUCAUGGGAGCCUAGCGGCCCUGAGCCGUUUCAUCUCGCGCCUCGGCGAAAGAGGCCUACCUCUGUACCGCCUCUUAAGGAAGACCGAGCGCUUCACUUGGACCCCCAAGGCCGAGGAAGCCCUCGGGAGCCUAAAGGCGCUCCUCACAAGCGCGCCCAUCCUGGUGCCCCCCGCUGCCGGAGAAGCCCUCUUGAUCUACGUCGCCGCUACCACUCAAGUGGUCAGCGUCGCGAUCGUGGUCGAGAGACGAGAAGAGGGGCAUGCAUUGCCCGUCCAGAGGCCGGUCUACUUCAUCAGUGAAGUACUGUCCGAGACCAAAAUCCGCUACCCGCAAAUCCAGAAGCUACUGUACGCGGUAAUUUUGACGCGGUGAAAGUUGCGACACUACUUCGAGUCUCAUUCGGUGACUGUGGUGUCAUCCUUCCCCCGGGGGAGAUCAUCUAGUGCCGAGAGGCCUCGGGUAGGAUUGCAAAGUGGGCGGUGGAGAUCAUGGGCGAGACUAUCUUGUUCGCCCCUCGGAAGGCCAUCAAGUCUCAAGUCUUGGCGGACUUUGUGGCUGAAUGGGUCGACACCCAGCUUCCAGCAGCUCCGAUCCAACCGGAACUCUGGACCAUGUUUUUCGACGGGUCGUUGAUGAAAAGAGGAGCGGGCGCGGACCUGCUCUUCAUCUCACCCCUCGGGAAGCACCUCCGCUAUGUGCUGCGCCUCCAUUUCCCGGCAUCCAACAAUGUGGCCGAGUACGAGGCUCUAGUUAACGGGUUGCGCGUCGCCAUCGAGCUAGGGGUCCGACGCCUCGACGCUCGUGGCGACUCGCAGCUUGUCAUCGACCAAGUCGUGAAGAACUCCCACUGCCGCGACCCGAAGAUGGAAGCCUACUGCGAUGAGGUUCGGCGCCUGGAGGACAAGUUCUUCGGGCUCGAGCUCGACCACAUCGCCCGACGAUACAACGAGACUGCGGAGGAGUUGGCUAAGAUAGCCUCGGGGCAGACAACGGUUCCCCCGGACGUCUUCUCCCGAGACCUACAUCAACCCUCAGUCAAGACCGACGACACGCCCGAGCCCGAGAAGGUCUCGGCCCUGCCCGAGGUGCCCUCGGCUCAGCCCGAGGCACCCUCGGCCCCCGAGGGUGAGGCACUGCGCGUCGAGGAAGAGCGGAAUGGGGUCACGCCUAAUCGAAACUGGCAGACCCCGUACCUGCAAUAUCUCCACCGAGGAGAGCUACCCCUCGACAGAGCCGAAGCUCGGCGACUGGCGCGCGCGCCAAGUCGUUCGUCUUGCUGGGUGACGGGAAGGAGCUCUACCACCGCAGCCCCUCAGGUAUCCUCCAGCGAUGCAUAUCCAUCGCCGAAGGUCAGGAAUUAUUACAAGAAAUACACUCAGGGGCUUGCGGUCACCACGCAGCCCCUCGAGCCCUUGUUGGAAAUGCCUUCCGACAGGGUUUCUACUGGCCAACCGCGGUGGCCGAUGCCACUAGGAUUGUACGCACCUGCCAAGGGUGUCAAUUCUACGCAAAGCAGACCCACCUGCCCGCUCAGGCUCUGCAAACAAUACCCAUCACCUGGCCGGUUGCUGUGUGGGGUCUGGACCUCGUCGGUCCCUUGCAGAAGGCACCCGGGGGCUACACGCACCUGCUGGUCGCUAUCGACAAAUUCUCCAAGUGGAUCGAGGUCCGACCCCUAAACAGCAUCAGGUCCGAACAUGCGGUGGUGUUCUUCACCAACAUCAUCCAUCGCUUUGGGGUCAUGAACUCCAUCAUCACCGACAACGGCACCCAGUUCACCGGCAGAAAGUUCCUGGACUUCUGCGAGGAUCACCACAUCCGGGUGGAUUGGGCCGCCGUAGCUCACCCCAUGACAAAUGGGCAAGUAGAGCGUGCCAACGGCAUGAUUCUGCAAGGACUCAAGCCAUGGAUCUACAACGACCUCAACAAGUUCGGCAGGCGAUGGAUGAAGGAACUCCCCUCGGUGGUCUGGAGUCUGAGGACAACGCCGAGCCGAGCCACAGGCUUCACGCUGUUUUUUCUAGUCUAUGGGGCCGAGGCCAUCUUGCCCACAGACUUAGAAUACGGUUCCACGAGGACGAGGGAGUACAACGACCGAAGCAACUGGACCAACCGAGAAGACUCACUAGACUAGCUGGAAGAGGCUCGGGACAUGGCCUUACUACACUCGGCGCGGUAUCAGCAGUCCCUGCGAUGCUACCACGCCCGAGGGGUUCGGUCCCGAGACCUCCAGGUGGGCGACUUGGUGCUUCGGCUACGACAAGAUGCCCGAGGGCGCCACAAGCUCACGCCUCCCUGGGAAGCGCCAUUCAUCAUCGCCAAGAUUUUGAAGCCCGGAACAUACAAGCUGGCCAACAGUCAAGGCGAGGUCUACAGCAACGCUUGGAACAUCCGACAGCUACGUCGCUUCUACCCUUAAGAUGUUUUCAAGUCGUUCAUACACCUCGUUUACAUACGCCAACAAAGUCUAACCAUCAAGGAAGGGUCAGCCUUGCCUCGGCAAAGCCCGACCCUCCCUCGGGGGCUAGAAGGGGCGAACCCCCUCUGCGUCAAAAUUUUCCUCGGAAAAAAUCUUUCUGCCAGAACGUCUUUCGUGCUCUUCGACUGCUUCGAAAGUGGGAUCCUGAAAACGAUGGAGUACACAUAAGCAGCCAAGGCCGACCGAGCCGAGGGACUCCUACGCCUCCGGGAUACGGAUACCUCACUCAUCACCUUCUGCGAUAAGUAACUCACGCUCGGAUAAGCGAUUCCGCUGACCGAACAAGUCUUAAUGCUCGAAAAAUUUUCUGCCGAAACGAUUUUCGUGCCUUCUCGACUAUAUCAAUAACAGAAUCCUACGGACGAGUAAGAGUACACGUAAGCGGCAAGGCCGACCGAGCCGAGGGACUCCUACGCCUCUGGGAUACGGAUACCUCACUCAUCACCUUCCAUGAAAAGUAACUCUCGCUCGGACAAACAAUUCUGUUACCGACAAAUAAGUCCAGAUACUCGAAACAAGGGGAAAAGAAAUGCAGCUUUAUAACACGACGACGAUAUGUUUGGGCCUCGGCGGCCGCCAAAAAACAUACGCACACUACAGAUAAACUGUUCCUGCAGGAUCAGACAUCAGUGGGGGAGCAGCAGCACCCUCGGCGUCGACUCCACCAUCGGCGGAAUCUGACCCGGCCUCGGACGGCAACACGGUCGGAGGAUCUCCACCUCGAAGGAACCUGUCGGCACCACGUUGGGCCAUCACCGCUAGGGUCUCCUCCGGGAACCCGGCCCAAGCAGACGGCUCAACCGGCCGCUCCGUAGCCUCAGCCAGCUGUCCCCCGAGGACGUCAGCCCGGCUCAUGGCCUCGGCAACCCAACUCCGGCGUCGGUCCUGCCAGUGGACGGCCCGGCUAGGCUUUGGCCGACGAAGCUUCUUUUCGAGCCAACUCUGCCUCUGUCCGUGCUGGCACCGCUGCCUCCGGCUCCGGCUCAUCGCAGAGCGGCUGAGGGUUCCUUUAAUUAAGCAAGAGAAGCCUCGAGCGGCAAGGCCGACCGAGCCGAGGGACUCCUACGCCUCCGGGAUACGGAUACCUCACUCGUCACCUUCGCACGAGGCAACUCACACUUGGUUAAGCGGUUCAGUUAGCCGACAGGUGAGUCCUAGUGCUCGAAAUGAGGAAGAAACAUGGCUUCACGCCAAAAUACAUAAAUGUUCAGGCCCCGACAGCCAUGAUGAACAAACACCGGCACUCAAGGUGCCAUUACAAACGGAACUCCGGUUCCGCCCCCGCAGGUACGAACAACCCCCCACAUUGGAGGGCCUGCGGGGCGACAAAACCCCAGGUGGCUCGCCGACGCCCGCUCCGGCAGCAGCGACAACGACCUCCGCUCCGGGUGGCCAAAUAGCAGCAGCGAUGGCCUCAGGACGGACGCUGCUGCAACGAGCCCCUCGCCCAUGUCCCCACUCGAGGCGCGAGGACAAGCUAUCAAAGCCAAAGAGCCGGAGGCCCAGAGCGCGGAUGGUGGCGGUGAUCCCGUCGGCGACGAGGACUUCUUCAGCCGCCACCACCUCAGCGCCGACGACGGAAGCCAUCUGCCCACCGGCAGAUCCCCACUCGGAUCCUCCCAGACGGGCGAGCACCGACCUCCGCGCAGAGGUGUCGUACCGAAGCAAAGGCAGGACAGCCCAAGAACACGAACGCCGCCCUAGCAGCGUGCGACGUCUUGGGCGGUCCUCCGGUGCGCGCGGCGAGACGACCGCUCAUACGGCGGGAGGGGGCACCGGGAGCCGAGCCAGAGCCAGCUGAGCCAGCGAGCCCAACGCGCUGAAGCUGACGACGCUUGCGACCGACCAGCCCCUCGUUGUCGGAGUCCGCCCCUUUCGCUAGGCCGGUGAGCGCCCUCUCCCCUGAAUGCUGAAGGAGAGGGUGACCCGCGAACCCGUGCGGGAGGUAGAGCUCCGGCUCAGCCCGCCCUCCGCCCCAGCAAGGAUGAUGAACAUCCUUGAAGCUGAGGGAGGGGCAGAGGCCACAGCCCAGCUCGCUUCUCCCCACCAUCGAACUGGUGGUCACCGUCUUGGGUGACCACCGGCGAGGGGAUGCAGCCGGGCUGCCUCAUGAAAAUCCUUGAAGCCGAGCGAUGGCUGAAAGGUAUCAACUUCCGCGAAGUUGCGUUCCUCCAACGACAAUAAGACAGAAGAACCACGGGCGCACCCCAUCCGGGGGCUCGGAAGGUGGAAGGACGCGAUGCAUGAAGGGAGUGCGAAGACAUGGUUGCCAUCCAAGGGGGUCACCCUCCUUUUAAAGGCGACUCUCCCCACUUGCGUCCUCAGCCGUCACGGACUGAGUCUUCACCAACACGCUCCAAGGUCUUCCACCUACGACAUGGGGGCUGGGUCCCACGUGUCAUGCAAGCUGGCCCAGGAUAGAAGAGGCCAAACCACCGCGCGUGGUGCGCGUAACUACCCGGCGGUUACAAGCACUCCUCCACUUUCGCCCAAACCAGCGGGUGAAAGGGCGGACCGCCAUGCAGGCGGCAUGCAACCGCACCAAGGGGGCACACCCUUUCGACUUCGACGCGUCCAGCAUGGAGGCCCAAGCCCACACGUCAUGUAACCGGCGCGCCGGUUACUACGUGCGAGAAGCUGCACCGCCACUUGCGCCAUUACUGUGCCUUCUCGACUGCGGAACCAGUGCCGCGACUCGAAGCGACCCUGCGCAUGGCCCAACAGUGCCAACCGAGCACAUCGAUCACGGGUCAGUCAGCCGCGGGAGAAGGCGCGACAGUCAAUAUGGCCAAAAGUGGGCCGGCAGUAAUGGCGGCGGCAGGCGGGCGGAAGCAGCGGUCAAGCCGUCUACAGGCUCACGUCCCCUCCUGGGACAGCGAGAGAGCCCUCUCCCACGGCGUGAAGACGACGCGCCCAUGUUCCGUUCCUCGAAUGGCUCGCGCACACACAACGGUUGCCCCACGAACCACUCGUCUCGUCGCAUUAACUCUGCGGCAGGACAGGCGACACCUUUGGCAGGCGAAGCGGGCGACACUUCACCUCCGCCAUAAUGACCGCGUCAAAAAAGGUGUGCCACGUCGUUCAAAUUCAUACCCCUUUUUCUCUUCCCCUUUCUCUCUCUUGCUACAGGGACCGGGAAAGGGGAUACUCCGAAAGGGAUCCUUCUCCGCGAAGGAAGCAGGCCCCAAGCCCCCCUACUGAUCAGAGGUUCGAAGGCUGGCCCCUCGGAAGGGUUCGACAGCUGCCUCAGAGCACUCGGGCCCCGAGCCCUCCUACUGAUUAGAGGUUCGAAGGCUGGCCCCUCGGAAGGGUUCGACAGCCGCCUCAGAGCACUCGGGCUCCGCGCCCACCACUGGUCAGAGGUUCGAAGGCUGGCCCCUCUGUGGGGUUCGACAGCCGCCUCAGACCACUCGGGCUCUGCGCCCACUACUGAUCAGGGGUUCGUAGGCUGGCCCCCGAAGGGUUCGACAGCCGCCUCAGAGCACGUAGAGCGAGGGAUGACUCUAGGUACGUCCGAUACAUGGUCGAGGCUCGAGCUACGCUCCCGAGGUACCCUAGGACAUUUCCGAGACUAGCAGGAGCGAUUCUGUAACGGAAUCCCAUUAGAGGGAGGCAUCGAGCCCUCGGACCCUAUCAAACGGGACCGGGUCCGGCAAAUCACCUGCAGGUACUUUUGGAGCGCGCCUCUGGGCCACUAGCCGACCCUUAUCGAACGGGGCACGGGCGUCCACUCGGAUCACCCGUUAGCAACUCACUGGAGACACCUUGUUCGGUGCCCUCCGAGGGCAACAUGGCGCUUUCCCUUCCUCCUCCUUGCGGAAAGGCGACACAGGGGCGUAAGAAAAAAAGCCGAGUUUGUCCUUGACCGUCCUCUCGCUCUAUGCGGAGGCUCGGGGGCUGCUCUCGCAAACCCGGCUCCGGCCAAACCGUUGACAGCGUUAACAUACCAGCCCGAGAACUUGGAACCUGACUAUGCACCCGGGCUACGGCUAGUUCGCAUGAGGGAACAACCAGACCGACUGAAGCAUCACGAAACGCGCUAAGACCUCGAAGGAGUCAAACCACUCCUCCGAGGCCUCGGGGGCUACACCCGGCGGGUGCGCUCGCGCGCACCCACUGGAACAAAAUGCAACCGAGAAAGGUCGGUCCCCUUGCAAAAAAGUGUGACAAAAACCUCCAAGCGAGUACUAACACUCCCUUCGAGGCUCGGGGGUACUGUCGGGGACCAUAAUUAGUGGUACCCCCAAGACUCCUAAAUCUCAGCUGGUAACCCCCAUCAGCACAAAGCUGCAAAGGCCUGAUGGGCGCGAUUCAGGUCAAGGCUCCGUCCACUCAAUGGACAUGAUCCCGCCUCGCCCGAGCCCAGCCUCGGGCAAAGGCAGCCGACCCAGGAGGAUUCACGUCUCGCCCGAGGGUCCCCUCAAGCAAUGGACGCACCUUCGGCUCGCCCGAGGCCUAGUCUUCGCGGAGAAGCAACCUUGGCCAGAUCGCCACGCCAACCGACCAUAUUGCAGGAGCAUUUAAUGCAAGGAUCGACUGACACCUUAUCCUGACGCGCGCUCCUCAGUCGACAUUGCCAAAGUGACCGCAGUCACUUUGCCGCUCCACUGACCGACCUGACGGGAAAACAGCGCCGCCUGCCCCGCUCCGCCUACUGUGCCACUCGACAGAGUGAGGCUAACAGCAGCUAAGUCCAGCCUCGGGCGCCAUAGGAAGCUUUGCCUCGCCCGACCCCAGGGCUCGGGCUCAACCUCGACGUCGGACGACGGACUCCGCCUCGCCCGACCCCAGGGCUCGGACUCAGCCUCGACCUCGGAAGACGGACUCCGCCUCGCCCGACCCCAGGGCUCGGACUCAGCCUCGACCUCGGAAGAUGAACUCCGCCUCGCCCGACCCCAGGGCUCGGACUCAGCCUCAACCUCGGAAGACGGACUCCGCCUCGCCCGACCCCAGGGCUCGGACUCAGCCUCGACCUCGGACGACGGUCUCCGCCUCGCUCGACCCUCGAGCCCAGACUCGACCUCGACCUCGACCUCGGAGGAGCCUCUGCCUCGCCCAACCUCGGGCUCGGACCGAUCACGUCACAGGGGGGCCAUCAUUACCCUACCCCUAGCUAGCUCAGGCUACGGGGAACAAGACCAGCGUCCCAUCUGGCUCGCCCCGGUAAACAAGUAAUGAUGUCACCCCGCGUGCUCCAUGACGACGGCGGCUCUCAGCCCCUUACGGAAGCAAGGAGACGUCAGCAAGGAUCCGACAGCCCCGACAGCUGUACUUCCACAGGGCUCAAGCGCUCCUCCGACGGCCACGACGUCACAUGAACAGGGCGCCAAAACCUCUCCAACUGCCACGACGGCAUGUACUUAGGGCUCUGGCUCCUCUCUGCUAGACACGUUUGCACAUUGCUACACCCCCCAUUGUACACCUGGGCCCUCUCCUUACGUCUAUAAAAGGAAGGUCCAGGGCUCUCGUACGGGAGGUUGUCCGCGCGGGAGAACGGGCUGGCAGACAGCCUCUCUCUCUAUCUCUCUCUCUCUCUCCCUCGCGGACGCUUGUAACCCCCUACUGCAAGCGCACCCGACCUAGGUGCAGGACAACACGGAGGCCGCGACUUUCCCCUUUGCUGUCUCUCCCCCCUUUUGUGUUCCAUCUCGCGCUGACCCAUCUGGGCUGGGACACGCGGCGACAAUUUACUCGUCGGUCCAGGGACCCCCCGGGGUCGAAACGCCGACACUACUCGCUCACGAUUAGCUAAUUUUUGUGAGCAUUACUCGUUUGUCUCUUCUAUUGAGCCUUUCAGGGUAGAAGAGGCCUUGCAAGAUCCGGACUAGGUGUUGGCCAUGCAGGAAAAGCUCAACAACUUCAAGCGAAAUGAAGUUUGGACCCUGGUGCCACGUCCCAAGCAAAACGUUGUGGGAACCAAGUGGGUGUUCCGCAACAAGCAAGACGAGCACGGGGUAGUGACACGUAACAAGGCUCGACUUGUGGCAAAAGGUUAUGCCCAAGUCGCAGGUUUGGAUUUUGAGGAGACUUUCGCUCCUGUGGCUAGGCUAGAGUCCAUUAGAAUAUUGUUAGCCUAUGCCGCUCACCACUCUUUCGGGUUGUUUCAAAUGGACGUGAAGAGCGCCUUCCUCAAUGGGCCAAUCAAGGAGGAGGUGUACGUGGAACAACCCCCUGGCUUUGAGGAUGAACAGUACCCCGACCAUGUGUGUAAGCUCUCUAAGGCGCUCUAUGGACUUAAGCAAGCCCCAAGAGCAUGGUAUGAAUGCCUUAGAGAUUUUCUAAUUGCUAAUGCUUUCAAGGUUGGGAAAGCCGAUCCAACUCUUUUCACUAAGACUUGUGAUGGUGACCUCUUUGUAUGCCAAAUUUAUGUCGAUGACAUAAUAUUUGGUUCUACUAACCAACAGUCUUGUGAGGAGUUUAGUAGGGUGAUGACACAAAAAUUUGAGAUGUCGAUGAUGGGAGAGUUGAACUACUUCCUUGGGUUCCAAGUGAAGCAACUCAAGGAUGGCACCUUCAUCUCCCAAAUGAAGUACACGCAAGACUUGAUCAAACGGUUCAGGAUGAAGGACGCCAAGCCCACGAAGACACCAAUGGGCACCGACGGACAUGUAGACCUCAACAAAGGAGGUAAGUCCGUUGAUCAAAAGGCAUACCAGUCUAUGAUAGGGUCUUUACUUUAUUUAUGUGCCAGUAGACCGGAUAUUAUGUUAAGCGUAUGCAUGUGUGCUAGAUUUCAAUCCAAUCCAAGGGAGUGUCACCUUGUGGCCGUUAAGCGAAUUAUUAGAUAUUUAGUUGCUAUGCCUUGCUUCGGGAUCUGGUAUCCAAAGGGGUCUACCUUUGACUUGAUUGGAUACUCAGACUCUGAUUAUGCUCGAUGCAAGGUUGAUAGGAAGAGUACAUCAGGGACGUGCCAAUUCCUAGGAAGGUCCCUGGUGUCUUGGAGUUCUAACAAACAAACCUCCGUUGCCCUAUCCACCGCUGAGGCUGAGUAUGUUGCCGCAGGACAGUGUUGCGCGCAACUACUUUGGAUGAGGCAAACCCUCUGGGACUUUGGCUACAAUCUGAGCAAAGUCCCACUCCUAUGUGACAAUGAGAGUGCAAUCCGCAUGGCGGAUAAUCCUGUUGAGCACAGCCGCACUAAGCACAUAGACAUCCGUCAUCACUUUUUGAGAGACCACCAGCAAAAGGGAGAUAUCGAAGUGUUCUAUAUUAGCACCGAGAACCAGCUAGCCGAUAUCUUUACCAAGCCUUUAGAUGAGAAAACCUUUUGCAGGCUGCGUAGUGAGCUAAAUGUCUUAGAUUCGCGUAACUUGGAUUGAUUUAUAGCAUACAUGUGUUUUAUGCCUUUGAUCCAGUCACUUUAUGCAUUUAUGAGAUUUAUUGUUUAUUGAUGGUGCUCAAGUUGUGCAAGGGAUCCCCGGACCUCAUAAGUCCAUGUGUGAGUAAUGCACAUAUUUAGGGGGAGAAGUGCUACAACCUGAUCCUUUGAGACUAACAAUUGUGUUGAGAUUACUUAAGGUAGCCUCAAAGGUGAAUUGAAAGGGAAAUGUGAACUUGGACAAUGCAAAGACUUCCACUGCACUCCGGUAUUAACUCCAAGUUCAUAUCUAAGCUCUUAUUGCCUUUUUGCUCUUAAUUGACAAUUUUGGUGAGGCAAUGGGGUUAAAGGGCCAAGAAUCAUCCCAUUUUGGUGCUUAAUGCCAAAGGGGGAGAAAUUAAGGCCAAAGCAAAUGGAUCAGCUACCACUUGAGAAUUUUGAAAAUAGUAGAGUUAGAACUUUUGAUUUGGCAAAAUACUCUUAUUGUCAAAAUUUGGUCUCUUGUGGGGAGAAGGUUUGAUUAUGGGAAAAAGGGGGAGUUUUUAGCUCUUAAUCAUUUUUACUCUCGGAUUAUCUCUCUUUGUGCCCAAACAAAUAUGUUUGACUUAGAGAUAGGAAAAUGAAUUUGAUGUGCAAAAACAAACCAAGUGGUGGCAAAGAACGAUCCAAAUAUGUCAAAUCUUGUCAAAGACUAUUUUUGUUCUCAAUUGCAUUGAUGUUGCACUUCUAUUUGUUGCUUGUUGAUGUGUUGGCAUAAAUCACCAAAAAGGGGGAGAUUGAAAGGGAAAUGUGCCCUUGGGCCAUUUCUAGUAUAUUUUGGUGAUUAAGUGUCCAACACCUAUUAAGUGGGUUAUUAUAUGCCAAAUAAUGAAUGAAGUGCAAAUCAACAAGAAGGUAUGUUUCUAAGACUUAGUACAUUGAUUUGGGUACUAAUGUAUUGUAUCUAAGUGAUAGAAACAGAAGAAAAAGGAUUGGAAAAGAGUUGGCUGUGUACAGCAAACUGCUGCUCGGUCUGGGUGCACCGGACUGUCCGGUGGUGCACCGGACAGUGUCCGGUGGUGCCAGACUGGCUUCCGGCGAACUGGCCGCUCUAGGGAAAACUUCGGCAGUGUACGGCUAUAAUUCACCGGACUGUCCGGUGGAGCACCGGACUGUCCGGUGUGCCAACGGCCGCCAAAUCCAUGAGCGACGCGUGGCCCACUCCAAUGGUAGGCUGGGGGCACUGGACUGUCCGAUGUGCACCGGACAGUGUCCGGUGUGCCAACCAACGCGAAGUUGCAAUGGUCGGCUGCGCCAGGAAUGGAAGGAAAUCGCUCACCGGACAUGAACAGUGGUUGUCCAGUGGCGCACCGGACUGUCCGGUGCGCCACCCGACAGAAGGCAACUUUGGCCUUCCAAGAAUGCCUCCAACGGCUACUAGCUGCCUUGGGGCUAUAAAAGGGACCCCUAGGCUCAUGGAGGAGACACCCAAGCAUACUUUGAGCAUUCUAAGUCUUCCACACUCCGUCUCCGCGCACUUGAUUGACUUUGUUAGUGAUUUGAGCUCUGUUCUAGUAGUGAACUAGUUGUGCUUCAUUCGAGCUCAAGUCUUGGCUUAUGUGUGUGCGUAUUGCAGUGGAUUUGUGUGUGUUGCUUCCCACCCUUACUCUUGUGCUUUCACUUUGAUAUUUGUUGUAAGGGUGAGAGACUCCAACUUGUGGAGAUUCCUCGCAAACAGGAAAAGAGAUAAGCAAAGAAGAACACCGUGGUAUUCAAGUUGAUCAUUGGAUCACUUGAAAGGGGUUGAGUGCAACCCUCGUCCAUUGGGACACCACAACGUGGAGGUAGGCAAGUGUUAUACUUGCCGAACCACGGGAUAAACUCGCGUGUCUUUUGUGAUUGUUUUUCGGUGAUACUUGUGUUCGCAAGAGCUCGCUACUUAGCCAUACUAACACUUCAUCAAGUUUUGUGGCUAUUAGUUGUUGAAUUUUACAGGAUCACCUAUUCACCCCCCUCUAGGUGCUCUCAAUUAGUGACUUGAGAGAGAGAGUGAUCUGUGUUUUAUUUGUCGCUCUUGUCGCUUGGUUUUUGCAAUCGUGCUUCAUUCUUCUCCCAUUCUUAUUCUCAAGUGACUUGUAAUCAAAGCAAGAGACACCAAGUGUGUGGUGGUCCUUGCGGGGUCUAAGUGACCCGUUUUAUUAAGGAGAAAGCUCACUCGGUCUAAGUGGCCGUUUGAGAGAGAGGGAAAGGGUUGAAAGAGACCCGGUCUUUGUGACCACCUCAACGGGGACUAGCUUCUUUGGAACUGAACCUCGGUAAAACAAAUCAUUGUGUUCAUCCGCUUUAUUUCUUGGUUGAUUUGUUUUCCCUCUCUUUUGGACUCGGAUUUAAUUCUAACGCUAACCCCGGCUUGUAGUGUGUGCUUAAGUUUGUAAAUUUCAGAUUCCGCCUAUCCACCCCCCCUCUAGGCGACUUUCAAUAGGGCCAUUGAGGAAGGCACUUUUCACGUCCAUUUGAUACAACUUAAAGCCAUGGUAAGUAGCAUAGGCAAGUAUAUAUAUGAAUUGACUCAAGCCUAGCUACGGGUGCAUAUGUUUCAUCGAAAUCCAAACCUUUGAUUUGUGAAUAUCCUUUGGCAACAAGUCGAGCUUUGUUCCUAGUCACCACACCAUGCUUAUCUUGUUUGUUGUGGGAUACCCAUUUGGUACCUACAACAUUUUGGUUAGGACAUGGAACUAGAUGCCAUACCUCAUUCCUUGUGAAGUUGUUGAGCUCCUCUUGCAUUGCCACCACCUAGUCCGGAUCUCUAAGUGCAUCUAUCCUGUAUGGCUCAAUAGAAGACACAAUAGAGUAAUGUUCACAAAAAUGAGCAACUCAAGAUCGAGUGGUUACCCCCUUGUGAAUGUCACCAUGUAUGGAGUUGACGGGGUGAUCACUUUGAAUUGCUUGGUGGACUCUUGGGUGCGGUGGUCUUUGAUCCUGAAUCUCUUGAUCAUCUUCCUUGUCUUGAUCAUCUUCAUCUCCCCUUGAUCAAUUUCCUCCUCUUGAGGUGGCUCAUCAUAUUGAUCUUGAUCCUUGUCCUCUUGAGCCAUUUCCUCAUUUUGAGUUGGUGGAGACGCUUGUAUGGAAGAUGAUGGUUGUUCUUGUGCUUGUGAAGGCUCUUUGGAUUCUUUUGGACACACAUCCCCAAUGGAUAUGUUCCUUAGCGCGACGCAUGGAGCCUCUUCAUCAUGUAAUUCAUCAAGAUCAACUUGUUCCACUUGGGAGCCAUUAGUCUCAUCAAACACAAUGUCACAAGAAACUUCAACUAAUCGAGUGGACUUGUUGAAGACUCUAUAUGUCUUUGUGUUUGAGUCAUAACUAUGUAAAAAACCUUCUACUGCUUUAGGAGCAAAUUUAGAAUUUCUACCUCUCUUAAUAAGAAUAAAGCAUUUGCUCCCAAAAACUCUAAAAUAGGAAACAUUGGGCUUUUUACCGGUGAGGAGUUCAUACGAUGUUUUCUUGAGGAUUCGGUGAAGGUAGAGUCGGUUGAUGGAGUAGCAAGCGGUGUUAAUCGCCUCUGCCCAAAACAGAUCCGGUGUCUUGUACUCAUCGAGCAUGGUCCUUGUCAUAUCCAAGAGAGUUUUUUUCUUCCUCUCCACAACACUGUUUUGUUGAGGUGUGCAUGGAGAAGAGAACUCAUGCUAGAUGCCCUCCUCCUCAAGAAAUCCUUCAAUUUGAGAAUUCUUGAACUAUGUUCCAUUGUCGCUUCUAAUCUUCUUGAUUCUCAUUCCGAACUCAUUUUGAGCCCGUCUCAAGAAUCUCUUAAAGGUCUCUUGUGUUUGAGAUUUUUCCUGCAAAAACAACACCCAAGUGAAGCGAGAAUUAUCAUCCACAAUAACAAGACAAUACUUACUCCCAUCGAUGCUUAUGUAAGCGAUCAGACCGAAUAGAUUCAUGUGGAGUAGCUCAAGCGGCCUCUCGGUCGUCAUGAUGUUCUAGUGUGGAUGAUGAGCUCCAACAUGCUUCCCUUCUUGACAUGCGCAACAAAUCCUGUCUUUUUCAAAAUGAACAUUGGUCAGUCCUAAAAUGUGCUCCCCUUUAUAAGCUUGUGAAGAUUCUUCAUUCCAAGAUAUCAUCCUUCUCGUUAAUGGUCUUUGUCAAUUCAUUAAUCUUUUUCUUUUGAUCUUUGGUAAGGUUUGCAAAAAGAGAAGUUAAAUCAUCAUUAUCAUCACUAGAGCUACCCUCAUCAUCGGCAGUAUUGUAUUUGGGGGUAUCUCUAGAGUGUACCUUCUUCUUUUUGUCGUCCUUAGCCAUGAGGCAUUUGUGGCCGAUGUUGGGGAAGAGAAGCCCUUUGUUGACGGCGAUGUUGGCGGCGUCCUCGUCAGAGGACGAGUCGGUGGAGCUCUCGUCGGAGUCUCAUUCCCGCCCCAUGUGCGCCUCGCCACCCUUCUUCUUGUUGUAGUACCUAUCAUUUCCCAUCUUCUUCUUCCCUUUCUUGUCGUCGUCCAUGUCACUGUCACAUGUACUUGGACAUUUUGCAAUAAAGUGACUGGACUUACCACACCUAUAGAAACCCUCUUGGAACGAGGUUUGUUGUCCUUCUCCUUCCUUUGCUAAAGGAUUUGCCAGAAGCUCUUGAUGAUAAGAGUCAUCUCCUCAUUGUCAAGCUUAGAGGCGUCAAUUGGUAGUCUACUUGGUGUAGACUCCUCCUUCUUUUCUUCUGUUGCCUUGAAAGCAACGGGUUACGCCUCGGGUGUGGAGGUGGCACCUUGCUCCAAGUUGACAAUGUGUUUGGAGUCUUUGAUCAUAAGUUCAAAGCUCACAAACUUGCCAAUGACCUCCUCGGGAGACAUCUGUUUAUAUCUAGGAUCUCCACGGAUUAGUUGCACUUGAGUGGGUUUACGAAAAAUAAGAGAUCUAAGAAUAACCUUGACCAUUUCAUGGUCAUCCCACUUAGUGUUCCCGAGGUUGCGUACUUGGUUGACCAUAGUCUUGAACCCGUUGUACAUUACUUAUGGCUUCUCUCCUUUGUUGAGGAUGAAUCGACCGAGUUCUUCCUCGACCGUUUUGCGCUUGGUGAUUUUGGUCACCUCGUCCCCUUCAUGCGCCGUCUUGAGGAUGUCCCAAAUUUCUUUGGCAUUUUUUAACCCUUGCACCUUGUUGUACUCCUCUUGACACAAUGAAGCGAGGAGUAUAGAGGUUGCUUGGGAAUUGAAAUGCCUUAUUUGGGCGGCCUCAUCGGAGUCGUAGUCCUUAUCGCCCACUUGUGGUGCCUGCGCUCCAAACUCAACAAUAUCCCAUAUGCUUUCGUGGAGUGAGGUUAGAUGGUGCCUCAUUUUAUCACUCCACAUACAAUAAACUUCACCAUCAAAAUAUGGUGGUUUGCCUAGGGGUACGAAAAGUAGAGGAGCGUGUUUAGGAAUGCGAGGAUAGCGAAGAGACAUCUUACUAUACUUCUUACGCUCUUGGCGCUUCGAAGAUGUAGACUCGGCGUCGGAGGUGGAAGGUGAUGAAGAGUCGGUCUCGAGUAGACCACCUUCUUCAUUUUCUUUUUCUUCUUGUCACCCUUCCUAUGUGACUUGAUGGAGCCGACAGAUUCCUCCUUGUGUUUGUCCCCGACCUCCUUUGAUGGAGUUCUUUCAUCGUUCUUCCUUCCCAAGGCUUCCAGCUUUUCGCCGGUGACCAUCUCCCUCUUAGCGUGUUCUCCCGACAUCACUUCGAGUUGUUAAACUCUAAUGAAGCAUCGGGCUCUGAUACCAAUUGAAAGUCGCCUAGAGGGGGGUGAAUAGGUGAAACCUUAAAAUUAUAAACCUUGAAUAUACAAUACACUUGAGGUUAGGGUUAGAAAUAAAUUUGGAGUGUGGAAGAUCGUUCCUCUUGCUAUGAGUUGCUCAAUCAAUGCAGAUAAAUUUGGGAGCAAACUCAAAACGAUGUGAGCAAGAGAACUUUAGAGAGAGAGGAGAGGGAAAAAAUCGAGUGAAGAUCAACACAAGUGAACAUGAUGAUUUGUUUCCUGAGGUUUGGUUCUAAAGAACCUAGUCCCCAUUGAGGAGGCCACAAAGGUCGGGUCUAUUCCAACCCUUUCCCUCUCUCAAUCGGUCACUUAGACCGGUCGAGUGCUUCUUCUUAAUCACACGGGUCACUAAGACCCCGCAAGGAUCACCACACAAUUAGGUGUCUCUUGCUAGCUUUACAAAGCACUUAGAAGAAUUAGAGUGAGAAGAAGAAAGCAAUCCAGGGAACAAGAGCAACAAAAGGAACACAUAUCUCACUCUCUCAAGUCACUAAGCACUUGAUUUGAUUUUGGAGCUUGGAGGGGAUUGAAUGCUUUGAUUGUGUCUUUGGAGUGUAUUCUUUGCUCUAGUAUUGAAUGUGAAGGUUGGAAGGCUUGGAUGGCUUGAAUGGAGGUGGUUGGGGGGUAUUUAUAGCGUCCAACCACUUCCUAGCCGUUGGCUGACUUUGCUGUCGAUGGGCACACUGACAGUCCGGUGGUGGACCAUACAUAGCAUUGUUCACUGUCUAGUGAGUGCCACGUCAGCCGACCGUAAGGGUUUGGAGCUGUUGGCCAUUGAAGUCCUUUGUCCUCUCUUGUUGCACCGGACAGUCUGGUUGCGCACCGGACAGUUCUGUGCAUUCUGACUUUGCAGUUUUGACUUCUGACUUCUGCUCUAUUCACUGUUCUAUCGUCAGUGCAGUCGACCAUUGGGCGAAGUUGACCGUUGCUCUGUUUGCUCACCGGACAGUCCAGUGGCACACCAGAUAGUCUGGUGAAUUUUAGUGGAGUGGCUUUGAGAAAACCCGAGAGCGGCCAGUUCGCGAGGGCUGCAACCUGGGGCACCGGACAGUGUCUGGUGCGCCACAAACUACGCCAGGUCUUUGUAUGCUCCAAACUUUGUAGAAUUCCCAAAAUCAAUUUGUUGCAUGUUAAUUGUGAACUUUAUGCACCUGAUUAAAAACAUUCACUAGGCAAACUAGUUAGUCCAUAUGGUUUGUGAUGGACGUCAAACACCAAAAUCAAUUAUAGGAAAUGUUGAGGCCAUUUCCCUUUCACCUCCCCUCUAUGAGCCUAUCCAAGUACCUUGCCUAUUUUAAAGGCAAGAGAGGGGGAGCGCAAGCGACCUUGUUCGUUAAUCUUGUUAUUAGUUGAUGCCUCCUUUCACCCAUGGAUUGGAGGAGACCUCCUAGAAGGGAUUGCUCAAGGAAAUGGUUCGACCAAGCCACCCUUAUCUUGGGGUUUCCUCUUAUCCAUCUUCUGGUUAGCUCUCGGUUCGCUUCUCAGGGUGGCGCUCACCUCUCCUGAUGAGGAAAGGUGCCAUGCGCUCAUGCCCCAACCAUGCUCCUCGUCGACCCUUUCGAGGCAGACAACGGACAACCUUAUGAGGGAUUUGGGCACGACCCGCAUGGCUUUGGAUAUGGAUAAUGCUGAGUUCCAAUGUCUUCAGUUGCGGCUAGCGAUCCUUAGCGAUCCUAGGGCAGGUAGACUUUUUUAAUCUGUCCUCUAGGUUCUCAGUCUCUCAUACUCCUGAUUGUCUAGAAAUCCUUCGCAGAACCUAGGACCAAAGCACUGGCUUUUUCCUAUGCAUAGAUCGAGCCACAAGAUUUGUUCAUGAAUGGGGAGGAAUCAUGGAUUGUGUCUCAUUGACAUCUCGGAUCGUGUUCGUGCGGCCGUAGAGCUCGGGGUUCAGCGGGGCGUAGCGAUGGCUCUCGCUAUCGCACAGCUUCACUUCAGUGGUAACCUCUAUGAUGCUACUCAAGGUGGUGUUGGUGGAGGAAAUAAUCCAUGGCCUACUAUAACCUUGUUCUGUGGCUCAAUCAUUUUUGCAACAUGUAUGGGUUUUUGGGUCCCAGAUCCCAGUUGGUCUCAGGAUUUCUCUCGGUCUAGGGGGUCCUCCUCCUGUUCGUCGAUCUUUUAGACGUCGUCUCGUCUAGAGUUUGUCCUAGUGUCGUUCGUCCGAGAGAAAGGAACCACUAAGUGCCCUCUCGUGUUCGGGGCCGUCCUCCUCCCUUUAUAGGCUAAGGAGGGGGUCAGCCCGUGGUGGCUUCCUUGGGAAGGAGCCACCAGGACAUGGUAAAACUGAGUGUAUUACCAUGGGGUAAAGCCACGCAUGCUUGUGGUCGCUUGGAUGUCCUGUAUUCUUCAUUACGGAUGGUGCUGGCAGCGUGGGCCUGAGCGCCAUCAUUUGGGCUAUGCCGACCCUUAGCCUUCCUAGCCUGGAGCACGACGUUUCUCAUCAUGUUGCGCCUUGCCAGCGGGCUGUGCACUCAGGCCUAGUCCUGAUAGGUCAUGAGUGUGCCACUAGUCAGGGGAUGCGUGGGCCAUAAAUGUGCCAUAGUCCGAGGGGCUUGCAGGUCAUGAUUGAUCCGCACCUCGAGGGGCUCGUAGCCUUGUAGGUCAUGAGUGGGAGGCAGACCGACGCCUCCGUUGUGGCUCGACGCCAUGCGGAUUAAUGCAGCUGAUCAUUUAUGGUAGGUCGGUCUCAGGCUAGGUGUGGGAUCGACUCGAGUGGUUUCCCUUUGGCAGGCCUGGCCCCCCCUAUUCGAUUCCUCCAUGCCAGACCGAGGUUCAGUGCAGCUGGAUUCAUCCGGGGGCGGGUUCUUCGGGGUAUAUGUUACCUAUCUCCUUCGACUGACCAACGAGCCCCAGUUGCCAAAGGCCUUUUCCCAAUUUCUUGCUGACCGAUGGGCCCCAAGGACUAGGGAUCAUAUCCUCGAUAGGGAGCGUCAUCACAACUGCUCACUGAUCGUCUUUCUUAUUUUGGGUGUCGUCUCGAAUUAUUUUAUUCCUCUUUAUCUUGAUGAAUAUGUGGAGGAAGACACUAUGGACAUCUAUCUACACUAACUAUGAUCGAUCAUGGAUCUGGGAAGACACUAUGGACAUCUAUAUACACUCAUUAUGCUCGAUCAUGGCACCCACCACAUGGGACCACCUACUCCCUCACUAGUCGGAUCCCUAGGUCUCGCUCGCACUACCCAUUUCAAGCUUGAUGAACACAACGUUCACACCAGCCUUGGUAACAUUAGCAUGUCCACCCCCUAUAGGAAAAUGUAGAGACCUUGGGAUGGGGGUUGACGGGAACAACAACAAAGGAUACCCAACCAAUUCUAUAAAAAAUGACAUGAUCGGAUAUUCAGAUGCAUCCACCGUACAACCAAAAAACACCUUUUUAUCUGACCACAAGGUCGUCCCACUAAAUGACCCCCGAUCGACUCAAUGGACUCGAUCAGGGGCUCAAGGGUGUUUGUUCGCUUUUUAUACCAAGUGCAUAUGAUGACCAAAUGAUCAAACCUGAUGUCCAACCAUAAGGUUGUCCCACUAAACAAACCCUAACCGACUCGAAGGACUCGCUCAGGGGCAUAGUGGUCUACGUCCACCCUAGCACGCCAAGUGCAUAAUAGCGACCAGAUAACCAAACCUUAUAUCUAGUCACAAGACCAUCCCACUAUGUGAACCCCUACCAACUCAGCAAACUCACUUGGGUGCUCAGGGGUCUGCGUUCACCCCCACUCGGGUGCUUAGGGGUCUACGUCCGCCCCGGCGCACCAAGUGCGUCUAGUGACUAAAUGACCAAACUUUCUGACCACAAGUAUGCUAAAGGCACCCGAUAACUAGGUGGCCAAAAUGAACACCUUACUCUAAACCUAGGCCCACAUGAUGCACCAAAGGUACCCCACCAACCAAGGGAAAAACAAAAAGCUUACCCAUAUCCGAAAAAUGAUAUGUUUUCAAAAGCUCAACUGAGAUCGCUUAUCGGUCCCUUAGUCGAUUUCAUGAAAUCAUCUAGGGGCUCAGGGGCUACAUUCAUCGGACACAUCAGGCAUUCCUGGUUGGUCUUUAUAAAACUUAGGCCAUCCCACUUAGCAACCACCUGACCAGUUUCACGAAAUCACCCAAGGACUCAAUGGCUAUACCCAUUGGACGUGUUAUGUGCGCUCGAUCGAUUUGCUCUCAAAAACCCAAGUCGUCCUACUUGGCUACUGCUCGCUAAUUUCACAAAAUUUCCUAAGGACUCUAGGGCUACUUUCACUAGACAAAACUGCAAGAGCCUAGGUGACCAGGACAACCAAAUCCAUCCUAAGGAACAACAUCAUUCACUAGAAACAAACAAGACAUGCACACAAACUGAAACCAAGAAAAGUCUACAAGAAUAGCCCUCAACCAAAUCUUUAGAAUUCAUCCAAUGGCUUAAGGGCUACUAAUGUGUACGCAUACGAUGGGUAUUCCAAGACAGUCCAAAAGUCCCACACCAAGAUAAGAACACCGCCUAGCAUGGCCUCGACUAGGGUAGCUCCCAAUCAAAGCAACUCCAAUCUAGUUAACCUAACAAGGUUGGCCCCAACUAGAGCUCCCUUGGCCUAGUCACUCGUCCAUGGCAAUCCCAAUCUCAUCACCAUGAUCAAGCCAGCCCCAACUCCCUUGACCUAGUUCCUCGACCAGGUCAACCCCAACCUUAGUCACCUUGGGUAAUCCUGACCUGGUCACCUCGACCAGGUUGGCCCCAACCUCGGUCACUUUGAGCUAGGUUAGUCUAGUUCAUACACUCAUAAUAAGACUCUACGACAUCAUAGACCGAGGGUACCAUGAACCUCUAUGAAAGGCUAACACAUUUAUGACCUCUAACCAUUUGGGACAUGCUCUUAACUAAGGCAUGUGUUGGAUAAAUUCAGGUAUAGUACAAAGAUCUGCAAAGACAUUUGUAUCUAACCAAUUGGAUCCCCAAAGGACAAUAAGGACAUGUGGGUCAUGACAUGCCCCACUAUAGGUGUGAGGUGAUCAUACGCCUUGGACAAGAUAUGUGUAGAAGGAAGCAAUCUCGAGGCAAAGCACUCGUAUGACUCCCUCAAGGAUGCCACCUCACAAGUCUCUGGGCAUCCCUGUGCAAGACUCAACAUCCCCUAGUCUAGUUAGGCCAGACAUGAUAGAACCCGAGGCCAGAUGUGCCAACAGUAGCAAGCCUUCGGAAGCAUAGGAGACGACAUAUGACCCAAAGAUUAGAAAUGACACACACCACCAACUUCUCCAUGCAACAAUGUCCACAUGUUCCCUCGACUAUAUAAAGGGAACUAGACCCCUAUAGAAACCAAUCGACAUCUAAAUUCUCAUUCAAACUUUCAUUCGCCUAAGUCCCCGAUUGGCACACUAGCACGAGAUCCCCAUGCUCUUCCUUAUAACACGACCAAAUAUCAACAAAGAUUUCAACACCAUACUAGACAUAAGACACUUGUUUGAAAUAGUCUAGAACUCCUCUCCAGAGCUCACAUGAGCAAAGCCAUUGGGGCAAUAGCCUACAAAAACCCCACUAACCUAAAGAUUUAUUUGACGUGGGUACAAAACCCUGACAAUAAGUGACCAUCAACUAAGUGAUCAAAUCAACAAGUUCCCUCAUCUACAUGACCUCAAGUUUAAUAAGUGGCACUCUAACGCUAACAAGUAGUAUAUUAAUUUUAUCAAGUAAUAUGAUAUACUUUGUGGAGGUGUCCAUAAAAAUGCAGCAUUCAAGUGUCCCACAUCCAUACCCUUGUGUAAAUAUUUUAGGGUAAUUAAUGACAAAGGGGAGAUAUUGGUACAAAGAUAUGAUUGAUACAAAUAUUUGAUGAAGCUUGCAUAUAGGGGAAAAUUGGUAUAAGGAUAUGAACAUAUGCAACAAAAAAGAGGUAAUACUCCCUCCGUUCCAAAUUAAAUUUUGUUUUACCUUUUUAUUGGAUUCAUACAAUAAUUAAUGUAUAUAUGUUCUAUAUAUAAGUCUAGGUUCAUAGUCAUCCAUAUGAAUAUAGGCAUAAAAAUAUAGAGCUAAAAUGACUACUAUUUUGGGACGGAGGGAGUAUCUGUCAAUAUGGAUAUGGACUUAAGGGGGGAGUUAUUGAUCAUAUGGUCUCAAAAGUUCAAUAAAAGGGGAUCAAAAUUCUUGGACAAGAAAAGCAUACAAGUAGGGGGGAGCAAACUCAUGAGUAUAUGUUUCAUGCAUUACAUUCACUUACUUGCAUUACAUUUGUUUUAAAACACCCUAAUACUUGUAUGCAAGUGUUUGCUAGAGCUAAGACUUGGUUGAUGAAUUUCUUUACUGUUAACUAGAGUGUAGUCUUGGUAUAACAUGUUGUAUCUAGAACCUUAUCCAUAAUGUUGAUCUCAUGUGGCAUCUAAUUUGACUUGUUUCUAGCAAGAUUGAUGCCAAAGAUAUUUUUAUGAGUGGUAUACACACUACAAAGGUAUAUUUCUAUCUUGUAUAUAGCUUAGCAUCAUUUUGUAGUGAUAAUGCUCCCACAAAUUUCAUAUUCAUGCAUGUGUGUAAACUUGAAACAGAACCAUUUAUGCACACUUGUGAGUUAUCACUACCAAAUCAAUUUUUAUUAUUCUUAUUUGAAUCUUAACAUCUAAGCUUAAAGUAAGAAACAUAAGACCAAACCAAAUUAGCAGUUUAAACUUGUGUGAAGAGCUAUCUUGGAAAAAGAACGAAAACAACAUAUCUUUGUAGAGUUAUCAUCAAUUACCAAAAAAGAAGAUUGAAAGAACCUUGUUUGGUUUUGGUGAUUGACUGACAACUUAGGUGUACUAAUACAUGUUUAUGUUGACAUACCCAUGGUUUAGUCCAUAGGUACACUAGUUUGAGCAACUCUAGACAUGAAGAAGGAAAUGGCUUUGACAUGUUGAAGAUGCUCAUCUAAGUGUAAAAUAAUAAACUCAUUGCAUAUGAGACAUGAUAUGAUGCCAUGUGGCUAGGUGGAAAAGAUCUAGAGACAAGGCUUGGCUAUGAUGGACUUGUUGCACGUGUGAAGGGCAAGUCAAAGAACUUGGCACCGUGGACCAAAGUCAUGAUGAAGAGCAAACAAAGUUAUGAUUAAAGAACCAAUAAGGCUACAUUAUGACAUGAAUUGGAUCAUAUCAUUCAUGGAGAACGAUGAAGGAACUUCAUGCUAUGAGAAAUGAUUGAAGAUAUGUCUUCUAGGACAUUUCAUUUUACCAGUCAAAGUUUGUGCGGAGAAGCAUGUGAUCGGGUUUAAGAUAGAUAGUCAUACUAUUAAGAGGGCAAACUUCUUUGCAUAUUAGUCAUCUAGUUCCACUUGUGAGAUCUAACAUGUGACGUACUUAGAUUGAGUGGCAUGGUGAAAAGGGAGAGAAACCCCCUUUGAAAAUGUUUGUGGAAAGGCUAACUCAUGUGCUCAAGUUGGUGGAACACUUGGGAGUUUGUUUUUUAAAGGGGGUAAAGUGUGUAUAGUAGACUGCCCCGACUUAGAGGGGCAGACUAUCCAUGAAGCUACCUAGAGAAUGGCCAAAAGCUGUGAGUUCCUAUCUUGUGUUGAAGUUUGGAUGACAUAUUAUUCGGCCCUAGGGGUGGACUGUUCGCAAGUCUAUUAUGGUGGUGAAUGAAAACUGGAAAGUUUCUAGGUGAGCUGAAUAUUGUCUCGUAUGCAAUCCGUCAUCAGAUCUGGGUCCUUGGGUGAACUAUUUGGUGUACUAUUUUGGAGAUGGACAAGAACUUGAAAGUUUCUAGGUGAAAAUAUGGUUUUGCCAACGAACUGACUGCACCCCUAUGGCGAACUAUACACCCUUUAUUUCAAAAGGGGAUACAAACUAGUAAUUUCUUGGCGUGCUAAUUUUGGCCGACAGACUAUCUGCCAGUCACUUAUGUGUUAUCUAACACACUUUUAUUUGAAAUAUAGUUGUGGGAGUUCUAUUGCAUACUAUCCAUGAUUUGUACUAUGGAUUGUCCAUGAGUGCAUAGAUUCUUUGAAAAGGCGCGAUAAUGACUAGUUGGUCCCUAUUUUCUAUAAAUAGAGGGGUGUUCGGUCAUUUGAAAAAAGAGUGCACCUUGGAGAUGUGUUUCCCAUGUGUUGUACUUAGCUUUGGCCCUUAUAUAUGUUUGAUAGAGAACACAUUAUACCGUGUAAGAGUGAUUUCUAGUGUGUUGCAUUGAUCAGUUGCAAGUAGUGGCACUAUGUCGUCAAGUUGCAAGUUGCAAGCUAGUGGUGCUUGCAACUCUUGGAGGUUGCCAUCUCCUAGAUGGCUUGGAGAUUGUGGCUCCAUAGAAACUCGCAUGAAGUUGUGCAUGGAUCCAUAGAAGGCUUUGUGAGGGGUACUAUGCUCGCCAUGCGGGAUACACGAAAAGCAACAACAAUAGAGUGAGGUGUGAAGAGCACCAAGUGGUCUGGCUCGAUCAAGUGCUAGAGCUUGGGUGUGAGCACUCCACAAGAGAGAGUGUGACUUGUAGGGUAGCACUAGCAAGAGGAUCAACGCCAAACUUGGACUUGCCUCAACAGAGAGUAAGUGGUUAGCAAACCAUCAACCCCUUUGAGAAAAAAAUAUUGUGUUAACAUUUAUCUUCAUGCUGCUUUGCAACUUCCUAUCGCUAGCUUGUUCACUUAUUUAUAUUGGGCUAGUGAUUAGUAUUGUUAUUCAACUAGUUUAAUUAUGUAGUAAAAUACUUGUUCUCUUGUGGUAGCAAGCUUGUGUAGCUUAAUAUCUUUACUUAACUUGUAUAGUUAAGCCGUUUAUCUCACUAGUUAUCUUGUGUAGCCUUGCUAGCUGAGUAGUAUUAAUGUGCUUAUGCUUUGUGCACUUUGCACACUAGUAUGUUUAGAAGUUUCUGAAUUGUUUGAGUGCUAGUUACUUAGGUUUGUGUGACCUUGCCAAUUAAAUUUUAUUUAGGUGAGCUCUGUUGGAACUUGCUCUCAGCUGCAAGGGGAUCCAACAAGGGUGAACGGUGACGUUAACAGGGUGCUCGCGCUAGAUGGCGAUAGCUCCGUUAAUCUGGCCUCUCACGAGCACUGUGCAGGGGUAUUUAUAGGUACCUGAGCGCGCAGCGCCUUGAGCUAAGGACGCAUGUGCCCUCAGCUACCUAGGUUAUCCCCAGAAUAUUCCCAUAAAGCGGGGUUACAGACCGUAAUUACAGGGAUGCCUUUACAAAUUAGGCCCGUAACGCACGGCGGCCACGCGGGGCCCGCUACGAUGGGCCGGAUCGCACGUGGGCCUCUGAGCUGGACGAGGCCGCACUGUGGGAUGUCCUUCGUCGCCGGUCUUCGUUUGGUGCGGAACAAGCGAAGGGUGUCCCUGCCUGUUUUGUUUCUGUUAGCUCAGCUGCUGCAGCGAAGGCUUCGAGCGAAGGGUGGCGCCUUUGCCUUCGCCCCAACAUUUGCCCUCCGAGGGACCAGUUCGACAAAGUCACCUGGUGCCGAAGACGUCGCUAGAUGGCGGAGUCGCUGCCCUCGCUCGAAGUGGUUCCGCGGGGGUUUUUGAUAUGACCGUUGAUUGACGGCGUACUGUUGGAUUGCGGGUUUCCCGAAGCGCCGCGCCCUGUUGGAUUGUGGGUUUCCCGAAGAGCCGCGCCCUGCCUAUAAAAGGGGGCGGGGGUCGGCGCUUUUUGAACUUCACUUUCCGCGCUCCGCGAAAACCCUAGCCGCCCUUUCCACCGUCUUGCUGCUCGUCUGCCCGCCGUGCUCUUGUUCGCCGGAGAUCUGGCUCGAGUGAAGCAGACCGCCCGCCGCCGCCGACGGUACGUAGCGAUGCCGUCCUCGUCUUCUUCCGCUGCCGCUACGCCGCCGGCCGAUCCCUCGCCGCCGGCCGCCGCCUCGUCUGAGGAGACGCUGAGUAGUUUGAUGGCGGAGGAGUUGCGCGCCGGCGAUUCUGUUGAUUUUGGCGUAUCGCGGAUGUCGUCGGUUCGCGUGCAAGAUAUGCAGCGGUUGGGUUACUUCGGCGGCGGAGUCGCUCGAGUCCCGGGGACGGAGGAAGUCCCCGAGCCAGAGGGCGAGUUGGUUGUUUUCGAGGCGUUCUUCGCCGCCGGACUCCGCUUGCCUGCGCACCGAUUUGUUGGCGAAGUCCUGCGCAGGUUCAACGUUCAAAUACAUCAGCUGACACCGAAUGCGAUGGUGGCUCUGUCGAAGUAUGUCUGGGCGACGACUUCGUACAGCGGACAGCCAUCGGUCGAAGUUUUUGCGAAGUAUUAUUGUUUGCACUGGCAGAAGAGGAUGAUUGGAGACGAAGUUGCUCAGUUUGGGUCUUGCACGUUCACGCCGAAGACCGGCAAAACCACGAUGCAGGUAGUCGAGUUGGUUCCUUGCGCCUGCAACAAGUGGGGCAACUGGAAUGAAUUUUGGUUUUACGUUGCUGAGUGUACCGUCGAAGGCCAUGAGGGACUCCCCGUGUCCGAGAUGUGCUCUCAUUUUUACUCAGCGUACCCGCCCUUUGAAGUGGCGGAGGAGGAUGUGGACAAAGGGGCCCUUCGGUGCGCCGCCGGUCUGAGCAGUGGGCGCGACUUGGUUGAAGAAUUUGUGGCGUACGGGGUAUGGCCCUUGGCGCAUGGCUGGGCGUUGGGCGAAGUGUGCCCUCGCCAGAUGCCUUUCCAUGGCGGAAGGGUGGUGCGGAGUCCCGCCUUCGCGCUGAAUCUGCAAAACCACGAUCCGGCCGCCUUUGUGCGUGAGGCGGAGGAUGGGGCGGUGUGGUUCGUUGGACGUUAUGUGCCGAGGACAGAGGGCCAGCGCAGCUGGGAUAUCCGCGGGUCGAAUGACCGUUUGAACAGGGUUUUUGAAUUAAAUCAAUUGCCAUAUGACGGCUACCCUGGUCAAGACGAUAUGGACCGUCGUGGGAAGAAGCCGGCGAUGGAGACUGGAGACGACCCUGCGCCGGCGGCCGCCCCAUCCUCUAAAAAGAGAAAAUUAGGUACUGCUAUGGGAGGGCUUGGGGUUUCUGAUGGUUUUGCUAGAGAGUUGAUGAGGACGUGCGCGGCCCCGGGGGGAAGGAUGUCUUCGCCCGAGCUCCGGGAGUCUUCGGCUCGGAUGCUGAGGGUUACCGGGGGUUGUUGGCCUAGGAAUGUUCCUAUCCCCCACGCGGCUGGCGAGGACUUUUUUACAUCUCGCAUGGUUCGUGAAUGGAGGGUUUUUCCUUACGGGCGGAAUAUUGGUGCUGUUGUGUCAGCAGUGAUGGACAAGGAUCGCCAGGGAGCUGCACAAAAGCGCCAGGCGGCUGUCAGGCUCGUUGAAGCCAGGCCGAAGAGGCAGCGGGGGGCUGUGAAGGCUGCGGCCCCCGGCAGAAGCAGGCCGCCGCUGGCGGCGAAGUCGGGCGUCCCUGCAUCUAGCAAGGCGCCGGAGGCAACGGCAGGCGCCGGAGGCUCGAAAUCGGCGAAGGCGGUGCCGCCGUCCAGCGGAGUGGCGGAGGUCGUGAAUGCGGCCCGAGCGUUGCCGUUGUCGGGCAAACGUGUCACCGACUUCGCCACCGAUAUUAGUGUGGACGACUAUCUCAGUGGUAAGUCGUUGGCUCUUAUUAUUAUUAUUAUUAUUUUUUUAAAUUUAUUCGUUGGUACGUCGCAGGGUCGGGCGAAGGCCAACUUGCUAUGGUUGCGCCUGCCGCGGCGACCACGACGGCUGCCGCAGUGCCGAAGGCGAAGGGCGGGGCUCUUAGCGCCGGAGGCGAGGUGUCGGCCCUCGCGGUUGUCAGGGAUGAGGCGGGCGCUGCGUCCCGCUGGCUGAAGGAGGUGACGGAGGCGCUAAGUCAGGUCCGCUGAGCUGGACUUCGUCCUUUUUUUUCUUUUUUUUAUCGGCUUGCUGGGGCCGCGGUCUUACGAUUGCUCUGCAGAUGGCUGACUUCGCCAGCCGCACUGCGUCGGGGGCCCUCACGGCAGCUGUGGCUGCCGAAGUCGAGAGACUUCGGACACAACAUGCUGACGCCGUCCGUGAGAAAUUGGCCGCCGACAGCAAGUGCCACGCUGGAGGGAGAGAAGGCUACCCUCCGGCGCCAGCUGGCGAGGGAAAGGAGGGAGACCAACGAGGCCCUUGUCAAGGCGCAGGCUGCGCAGGCGGAGGCUAACCUGGCACGGGCGGAGGGCAAUCUUGCCAGGGAGCGCGCCGAGCAGUUGCAGGAGCGGCUCAUCGCCCUGGAGAGCCGCGUGGAGAGGGCCGAGGCCUCGUCACGCGCGGAGGCAGAGCAGACGCACCAACUGCUUAUAGAUACAUACCGUGGGCUAGGCGCGGGGACCGGUGAUUUCGAAGUGCCGGACCGAGAGCCCGGACUUCGCUGCCUGGAGUGGGUGCAGGAGGAGUUGCAGGCACUCCCCACUGUCGUGGAGGGGUUUAUGGCUAUGCCUCCCGGUUCACCUGCGAGGGGGCGAUGAACACGCUCUCCCGCGAAGGGUGCCGACACUUCGAGGUCUUUGACCAAGCCGAUGAAGAUUUUGAGCAAGAUAUCUUUAAGGUUGAGGACCCCGUAGUGAAGGAAUCCGCCGGAGCCAUCUACGACCGGAUGUGGGGUCCGCACGGUCGCGAGGUGGUCAGGGAGCGGGCCGAAACGGCGAGGGCUCAGGUAACGUUUUCGUUUGUUUGGUGUUUGUUGGAUGUAAGCUGUGUGUGUGUUUGCUGAAUUUUGUGUGUUUUGUCUUAGACGGCGCGUGGCAAAAGGGUGGACGACUUCGGGUUGUUGAACAGCAUGCUGUCUGACCCGGAGCCGACCCCGGCGGAGGCCGUGUCUGGGGUCGCCCUGGAGCCGACCUCGGAGACUGCGGAAGACGCGUCGGGUGCCCCCGCAUCCGCUGCGGCCGGCGAAAACCUGCCCCCAGAGGUCGCCGAAGGCGCGCCUGAUGCCCCCGCAGCUGCUGCGCCGAGUGCUGAAGAUCCCGCGGCGGUGGCGGCGGAAACAACAGCAGAAGCAACGGCGGAGCCAACGGCGGAGGCUCCCGCAACGUCAGGGCCUUCGCAGGUGGCGUAGUGGGUGUAGAGGGUUGGGGAAUUUUGGAUAUGUUGCUGAAUUUUGGUUGCUGCGCAGGUUCAAGAUUUUGGGCCUGCGCACGCAACCGCCACUACUAUAUUUUUGGCGGCUUCGACCGCGGAAGGUGAUAAUGAAUGUGGUGGAUCUGCAUCUGAGUUUUUUGAUUUUGCUGACUCUGGGAGCUCGGUUGAGUGGACUGAGGAGUCGUCGUCGGAGGACUUGGACUACUUUGUGGCUUUGGAUGUGGCUACGGCGGAGGCUUCGCCGCACGCCGCGGACGUAGAAGAUGUGUCGGGUCCUAGCACUGGGCGCCGACGACGAAGGGUUGUUGCGAAGCGUAGAGUUAGUGGGGCGGAGGGGGCUCGACUUCGUGUGAGUAGGGCUGGCCGGCAGGAACUGUUGUCUUUGCCGGCCGCCGCGAGUACAGGUGAAGGGGAACUGCGAAGUCUUUUUGCGGGUGAGGAGCUUAGGAUAAUGUUAUUUAAUUAUAGAGAGAUGGGAAUUAUUCCUAAGGUUGAGCCGAAGUAGAGUGUGGUGCCCUCGCUUGUAUAUGUGUGAAGGCUUGUGUGAUGAAGUUGUGUGCCCUCGCUUGUCUAUGCCUACGAAGGCGUUGUGUACAUUGUCUGGUGUGUUUUGUUAUGCUGUGCUGGUGCAAUUAUAGUCGGUCUUGGCGCGGACGGUUUGAUGUUGUCGUUUCUGCAUUUGUUGUGCUAGUCCGGCUGCACCCUUAGGCGACUUCUGCGCGGACAGUCUUCGCGGUAGACUUUGGUUUUUUCGCACUUGUUGUGCUAGUCCGGCUGCACCCUUAGGCGACUUCUGCGCGGAUAGUCUUCGCGAUAGACUUCGGUUUCUUCGCACUUUGUUGUGCUAGUCCGGCUGCACCCUUAGGCGACUUCUGCGCGGAUAGUCUUCGCGAUAGACUUCGGUUUUUUCGCACUUGUUGUGCUAGUCCGGCUGCACCCUUAGGCGACUUCUGCGCGGAUAGUCUUCGCGGUAGACUUCGGUUUUUUCGCACUUGUUGUGCUAGUCCGGCUGCACCCUUAGGCGACUUCUGCGCGGAUAGUCUUCGCGGUAGACUUCGGUUUUUUCGCACUUGUUGUGCUAGUCUGGUGCACCCUUAGGCGACUUCUGUGCGGAUAGUCUUCGUGAUAGACUUCGGUUUUUUCGCACUUGUUGUGCUAGUCCGGCUGCACCCUUAGGCGACUUCUGCGCGGAUUUGUCGCACGUGAGGGUGGCUAGCGCUUAGCCUCGCGGUGACCUCGUAUUGGUCGAAUGUCGAAGACCGUCGUCGCGGUCUUUUUUCGACGCAUGUUUUUGCGGGGGAUUGUUUUUGCGAAUUACAAGGGCGAAAUCAGCCCUGAGAAGUCAAACAAAAAAUUUGCGGAGGUUGUCGAUGUUCCAGGAGUGCUCCAGGUCCUCGCCGUUUGGCGUUGUGAGCCUGUAGGCGCUGGGGGAAGCUUUUGUCUUGACUAUAAAGGGGCCCUCCCACUUGGGCUCCAGCUUGCCCUUGGACUCCGUCCGAGCCGUUCGGACGAGUACGAGGUCCCCUUCGUUGAACUCCCUCGGGAUGACUGUGUGGUCGCGCCAUGCUUUGGUAUGGGCUUGGUAUUUGUUGAGGGCUUGUAGGGCGAAGACUCGGUCUCCAUCAAUGAGAUCCUUUGAAGUUGGCUCGUCCACGUCGGGGACAGCUGACGGAACUGUUCGCGAAGACCCAUGCUUUAUUUCUUGCGGGGUCAUGGCCUCCGAUCCGUAUAGAAGGCGGAAAGGAGUAAACCCAGUCGCCCUGCACUCAGUCGUGUUUAGUGCCCAGACUGCCUCAGGUAGCAGAUCGGUCCAUCUGCCCUUUUUUCAUCAAGGAGCAUCUUCUUGACAGCUGUGAAGAUUUUCCCAUUGGCGCGUUCCACGACCCCGUUGGACUGCGGAUGAUAGACUGAGGCGAAGGCUAGCUUGGUGCCAAUGGAGAAACAAAAAUCCUUGAAGUCUUGGCUGUCAAACUGUUUGCCGUUGUCAACUGUUAGCUCGGACGGUACUCCGAAGCGGCAAACAAUGUUUUGCCAGAAGAAUUUUUGGGCAGUUUUUGAUGUUAUUGUGGAAACAGCCCUCGCCUCGAUCCAUUUGGUGAAGUACUCGACAGCGACGAAGGCGAACUUAAGGUUCCCCUGAGCGGUGGGCAGGGGGCCGACAAUGUCCAGGCCCCAGCGCUGGAGGGGCCAUGUAUGGGCGAUCAACUUUGUAUACUGCGAGGGGCUGCAUGACCGAGGAGAAAACUUCUGGCAGGCUUCGCAGGACCGUGUGACCCGAUUUGCGGCGCAGAUCAUUGCGGGCCAGUAAAAGCCCUGGCGGAUCACCUUAGCAGCUAGGGCCCUUGGCCCUGCGUGUGAGCCGCACGUGCCACUGUGGACUUCUCGUAGGAUCUGCAUGCCUUCGGCUUCGGUGACGCACUUGAGCAUUGGCUGACUAACCCCUUUUUUGUAGAGUUGGCCUUCAAUCAGUGCAAAGUCUCGGCUUCGAUGUCUGAGGCGCUUGGCCUCACUGAUGUCGGCUGGAUGAUAAUACCCCUGUAGGAACAGGGUUAUUGGUGCCCGCCAGUCUUCGGUCAUGAUAAGGUUGACUAUGCGGUGGCCCUCGCUGUCGUUGGUUAUUUGGAGCCCUUCAGGGCUCCGAACGGCUGGCGUGCCGAUGACAUGAAAGAACACGUCGGAGGGCAGAGUUUCGCCCCUGGCGGCAGCCUUGGCCAAUGCGUCGGCCUCUUCAUUCUUGGCCCGAUCCACAUGCUGCAAGGUGAACCCCUUGAAUUGCCUCUCGAGACUUCGGAUGGCCGAGAGGUAUUGCAUGAGUGCGGGGUCCUUUGCUGCGUAGUCUUUCUCGACCUGGCCGGCAACUAUCUUGGAGUCUGUUUUGAUGAUACAGGUGGUGACUCCGAGGGCCCUCAGCUUGCGGAGGCUGAGGAUGACUGCUUCAUAUUCUGCUAUAUUGUUUGUGCAUCUAUCGUAUUCCAGAGCGAAGCUGAGGCGCGCUGCAUAUCUGUGUUUGACUCUAGCUGGUGAGGUAAUGACUGCAGCGGCGCCUGCCCCCGCAUGGCACCAUGCGUCGUCGCAAUGGAUCGUCCAAACCUUCUCUGUGGACGGGUCUGGUUGUGUUAUUGGCCCAGUCCAGUCGACGACGAAGUCUGCCAGGACUUGUGACUUGAUGGCUGUCCUGGGCUCGAAGCUGAUGUGGUAGCCGGAGAGUUCGACUGCCCACUUGGCAAUCCUCACCGAUGCCUCCGGGUUUCUGAAUAAUUCGCCGAGUCCCCUGUCAGAGGUGACUCGGACCUUGAAUGCUCCAAAGUAGUGGCGCAGUUUGCGCGAAGACAUAACGACUGCGUAGGCAAUCUUCUCCAGCUCUGUCAUGUUGCACUUGGACGGUGUCAGUACCUCGGAGACAUAGUACACGGGGCACUGCCGGACCACGCCCUCGACAGUCUGCUCCUGCACUAGUGCCGCGCUGACCGCAUGUGGCGAAGCCGCGACGUAGAGCAGCAGGGGGACCGAGGGGUCGGGGCUGGUAAGGACGGCCAACUCUGUCAGGUACUGUUUUAAUGAGGCAAAGGCCGCCGCCUGCUCUGGUCCCCAGGCGAAGUCUUUUGCACCACGAAGUGUCUUGAGGAAGGGGAGACUUCGCUCGGCGGACCUGGAGAUGAAUCUGUUGAGAGCGGCCAAUCUGCCUGUCAGGCGCUGGACGUCCCUGACAGACUGCGGAGGCGUCAUGUCUAUGAUGGCCUGAAUCUUGGUUGGGUUGGCCUCGAUGCCGCGGUGUGAUACCAGGUAGCCCAAUAUUUUGCCUUAGCGAACGCCGAAGACGCACUUUUCCGGGUUUAGGCAGAGUUGUGCGUCUCGCAUGUUCGCGAAUGUUUCGGCGUGGUCGGCGAAGUGGUCCUCCUUGCUCUUGCUGGCGACAACAAUGUCGUCCACAUAUGUGAAUAUGUUUCUGCCAACUUGCCCUUCGAGCACUGUUUUGGUAAGCCUGGAGAAGGUGGACCCGGCGUUCUUGAGUCCCUCCAGCAUUCUGAUGAAGCAAUAUGUGCCGAAGGGUGUUAUAAAGCUGGUGCUAGCCUUGUCUUCUUCCUUCAUGUAUAUCUGGUGGUAACCGGAGAAGCAGUCGAGGAGGGACAUGACUUCGCAUCCGGCCGCGCUAUCGACUAUUUUGUCGAUCCGCGGCAACGGGAAAUUGUCCUUUGGGCAAGCUUUAUUGAGACUGGUGAAGUCGAUGCACAUUCGCCACUUCCCGCUCUUUUUCUGCACCAUCACGACAUUGGAGAGCCAUGUGGGGUAAGCCACCGGCUCGAUGAAUUUGGCUUCCAGGAGGCGGUGCACUUCUGCCUUGGCGGCCUCCGUCUUCUCGUCGGACAUCUUGCGAAGCCGCUGCUUUUUCGGCCUUACCGAAGGGUCGAUUCCCAGACUGUGCUCAAUUAUUGAACGGCUAACCCCGACCAGAUCGAGGGCCGACCAGGCGAAGACAUCUUUGUUCUUGGACAGGCAGCAGAGGAGCUUCUCUUCUUCAUGUGAAGUAAGGUCUUCGCUGAUAAUGACUGUCUGCCUGGGCGUGGCCUGGUCGAGGGGGACAGUCUUGGUCCCGUCGUUGCUCUGCAGCUGUGCCUUGUCGUGCUGCUUAUUGGUUGGGCUGGCGGGCGCGGGGACCUCACAUUGGGCCGUGAGGCAGUGCACGUUUCUUUGACCGGGCAUGAAGUCCCGCUCUAUGUUGCGCGCAGUCUGUUGAUUGCCGAAGACUGUGAUGACGCCUAGCGGACCUGGUAUCUUCAUACAUAGGUACAGUCCGUGAAUGGCUGCUUCGAACUUAUUGAUGGAGCCUCGGCCCAUGAUGGCAUUGUAAGGAUAUACCAUGUCCACAAUGUCAAAGGUUAUUUGCUCACUUCGGGCAUUGGGUGCUACACCGAAGGAGAGAGGCAGCUCUAUUUUGCCGACGGGGAAGGUGCCCUUGCCGCCAAAGCCAUACAACGGGUUGUCCGAAGGCUUAAGCAGGCUGUGGCUUAUGCCCAUGCGAUCGAAGGCGUGGAGGAAGAUGAUGUCCGCCUGACUGCCGUUGUCAACUAGGACUUUGUGCAGGUCCUAGCCUGCCACGCUGCAAUUGAUAACCAUGGCGUCGCAGUGGGGGGCGCUGUGCAGGUCGACGUCUCGUGCGUCGAAGGUUAGCGGUAUGUGGGACCACCUUGUCUGCACGACUGGGCCAGUGACGGCGACAUGGUUGAUGUUGCGGUAGUGGUCCCGCUUCUGCCGCUUGGUGUCGAAGUCGGUGCUGGACCCCCCAGUUAUCAUGUGGACGACUCCGCGAUAUGGUUGAUCGACGAAGUCUUCCUGCUUUGGAGCAUGGGGGAUGUUUUGAUGUUGCUGGUGUGGUGGUGGGGGUGGAGGAGGUACGAUUUGUACUUCCUGAUGGUGUUGGUAAGCGUGGUGCGGUGGAUGCGGGCGGGAGCGUGGAUAUAUGGUGGAGGGGGUUGCUGGUAAUUGUGCACGACAAUUCUGGGGUUGUCGGCUGGCUGCGCCCGUGCCAUUCUGUCUCUGGUGGCCUUCGUUUCGGGGCAGUCUUUGGUCUGGUGGGCGCAAUCUUCGCCAUGGAAGAGGCAGUAGAAUCGGCGCGGCGGCUACGCACGCCCUCGGCCCCUACCACGAGUUCCAUUUUCGCGGCCCUGGGGGGGGAUAUUCCUGGCGACGAGGGGGGUCAGCAGCGGGAUGCUGGUUGGCGAUGUUGUGCACUUGCUGCUGAUUGCGGCCGUCUCGACCGGAGUCUGGCUGCGGAGUCCUCGUCCACGUGCGGCUGGACUGUGGGGCAUCUUUGGGUUUCCGCUGUGACUCAACCUUGCGCUGGUGGAGCUCCUCGGAUUUGGCAUAUUUUUCAAAGAGUUGAUAUAGCUCCUGGAGGUUCUUGGGCGGAUCUCUGAUACAGUGGCUGUAGAGGACGCCGGCACGAAGGCCACUGAUGGCGUAGUGGAUAGCUAUCUGAUCAUCAACGGAGGGCAGCUGUGACUUGAGUGUUAAAAAUUUGCGGUAAUACUCCCGCAGAGUCUCCUUUUCCAGCUGCUUGCAAAGCGAGAGCUCGGCCAAGGCGUCGGUGUCUGGGCGGUACCCUUGGAAGUUGAGCAGGAACUUGUCCCUGAGACUUCUCCAGGAAUCAAUGGACAGCGGAGGCAAUCUGGUGAACCAGGUGAGAGCUGGGCCCUCUAGGGCGAUGAUGAAAGACUUCGCCAUUGUGGCGUCGUCCCCUCCGGCGGAUGCAACGGCGACCUGAUAACUCAUUAUGUAUUGCGCCGGGUCGGUGCUGCCAUUGUACUUGGGAUAGGUCCCUGCUCGGAAGUUAGCUGGCCAAGGCGUCACUUGCAGGUGUGGCGCCAGGGGACUUCGUUCGUCGAGAUAGUUGACCCCUUGGAAAGGCGCGGCGUGCGGGAAGGUGUGGUCGCGCUGGGGGAAACGCGGGUCCUCCGGUUGCGCGCGGUGUUGCAGGGGUGGCCCAUGCUGCAGGCCGAGGUGGCCUUCGCGCGUGUCUUCGAGUUGUGCGCGCUGCUGGAGGGGUGGCUCGUGCUGCAGGCCGAGGUGGCCUUCGCGCUGCAUCAGCGCAAUCUCCCGCUCGAGUUCCUGGGCCUUCUGCUCUUCGUCGCGUAUCAUUUGCCGCACUUUGGCUAGUGCGGACACACGCUGGCGCUUGGCCUCCAGUAUCUCCUUCUGCCUCUGGAGGUUGCGGUUCUUGAGGCGCAGGGCGCGCAGCUGUAACUGUUCUUCUGCUGAGACGCCGAGGACUUCACCGUCCUCGGUGAGGUCCGCGCCCCCCGGUGGUGCGAAGCCUGAGGGUGGCUGCGGUUGUCCCUCAGGGCCGCAGGUGCGGAGAGCGUCGUCUUCGCAGGUGCGAGGAACAUCGUCUUCAGUGGCCUCUUGGUGGGUGGAUUGGGUGAGGGCGAGGGCCUUGCCCUUUCUUGCGGCGAGCAGUGCUGCCUUCGCAGCCUCGUCAGCCUUCGGGUUAGCUCUCUUGGGUGCCAUCGCGGGUGGUUUUCUCGUAGCACGAACGGUGGGCGCCAAAUGUUGGAACUUGCUCUCAGCUGCAAGGGGAUCCAACAAGGGUGAACAGUGACGUUAACAGGGUGCUCGCGCUAGAUGGCGAUAGCUCCGUUAAUCUGGCCUCUCACGGGCACUGUGCAGGGGUAUGUAUAGGUACCUGAGCGCGCAGCGCCUUGAGCUAAGGAUGCAUGUGCCCUCAGCUACCUAGGUUAUCCCCAGAAUAUUCCCAUAAAGCGGGGUUACAGACCGUAAUUACAGGGAUGCCUUUACAAAUUAGGCCCGUAACGCACGACGGCCACGCGGGGCCCGCUACGAUGGGCCGGAUCGCACGUGGGCCUCUGAGCUGGACGUGGCCGCACUGUGGGAUGCCCUUCGUCGCCGGUCUUCGUCUGGUGCGGAACAAGCGAAGGGUGUCCCUGCCUGUUUUGUUUCUGUUAGCUCAGCUGCUGCAGCGAAGGCUUCGAGCGAAGGGUGGCGCCUUUGCCUUCGCCCCAACAAGCUCUACCUAGAUUGAUACCCUAAACCCUAAACACAAUAUGUUUUUUUUACGACGAAGGUAGUAAUUUUAAUGUUUGACCUGAUGUAGUCUAGAAAAAAAAUGCUUUUUUUAUCAGAGUAAUAAGUAGCUGAGAGGGAUACUAGUAGCUAGAUGCAUCAAAUUAAACCUGAGCGCGUUGGGGCCGGACGGCAUAGAUUUUACAUUGAAGCUCAAAAGUAGCAUCAUACAUUACAUUCGACGAAAUCGGAACCCUAUACAGCAAAGGUUCGAUAGCGGCGAGCACGCACGCAACGCAACGCAGCGCAGCACCAGGGAUGAUGGAUAGGAUCUUAACCGCUUCACUUCUCGAAGUAGUCCUCGGUCCUGCCCUUGAAUCCGAUCUGGCCGAAGGUGAGCACGAUGAACAGGCCCAGGUGCCACGUCACUAGCCACAGCCUGCAACGUACCAUGCCACCACACCAGUUCGUGUUCGUCAGUGAGCUUUACGUACUUGUCAUGCCGAACUAGCUCGCGAAGGCCGGCAGGACGCGUGCCGGAUAUGCAUGCAUGCCCGGAUCGAGAGGUACGUACACGGUACACUAUACUCACCAGAACUGGGAGGUGACGGGCGGGGGCGUGGGGAAGUGGGCCAGCUCCUGGCCGAUGCUGGAGAAGAAGAGCCCCGUGAGGCUGUUGCCGUUGAUGGCCGGGACGCUGGACGGCCCCAUCCAGCCGAUGAGCCCGAAGCCGAUGACGCUCAGGUCCCUCCGCAGCCAGUCCCGGGGAAACCUGGCGAUCGAGCGCGUACGGAGGAUCAGCAGCGACUAGUAUAAUAUAUAUACAAGUAUAUUUCACAGAAAGCUCGUAAUAAAAAGCUCAGUCAACUCACGUCAUGCAGGUGAUCCUGCCAUUCCUCUCCAGGUUCCUGCUCAUCAGGGGG